GGGGAGUCGUCCAGGUGCAGGGCACAAUGGCCUGGAGUGCAGUGAGAAGCGGGGGAAGGCCAGUGACAGACUGAGUGUGUUUUGGGGGGGGCACGGGCUUGCUGGAGAAUUAGAUGUGGAGAAUGAGAAAAAAAGAGGCCUCGGGAGAGACUCCAAGGCAUGUGUGCAAUAGGGCAGAGGAAUGAUCAUGGCGUCACUUGCCAGGAUGAAGAAGAUGGAGUGGGUGCAGGUUUCUAAGGAAAAUCGAGGGUUCCUUUUUGGCCAUAUGUAUUUGAGAUGCUGUGAGACCCUCAAAUAGAGAGCUCAGACAGCACCAAUGCCUGCAGGUCACUGCACCCAUGAUGCCCAGAUCAGCCCCACCAGGGGCUCCAGGCAUGCAGAGCCUGAUGGGAGGCAACUAGCUGGUACAUGGCAGAAGGAGCGAUGCUCACUGCACACGGUCAGGGAGGAGGUGGGGGUGUGGCGCCCCUUCCACCCUCCACUGAGUCCACCACCAACAGCUGGUACCUCUCCUCUAAAUCCACACUGUCCAACAUAGAACUGCCACAAGCCACAUGUGUGCUGUAAGCCUAACAUACACGCUGGGUUGAGUGUUUAGACACAGCACAAAACAAGUCUGAAAAUAGCUCAAUAAUUUUUAUAUCAAGUACAUGUUGAAAAGAUGUUUGGGAUAUGUUCUGUUCAAUAAAAAUACUAUUUAAAUUAAUUUCACCUGUUUCUUUUCACU
This 727-nucleotide long non-coding RNA is filed under the name Marmota monax (woodchuck). Lineage: Eukaryota; Metazoa; Chordata; Mammalia; Rodentia; Sciuridae. The record is from RNAcentral.